GGGUGCGACCAUAUCUGCCCUAAUGCACCGGAUCCCAUCAGAGCUCCGAAGUUAAGCGUGCUUGGGCGAGAGUAGUACUAAUUUGGUUGACCCCCUCGGAAGUCCUCGUGUUGCAACCC
Molecule: ribosomal RNA, 119 nt
Filed under: Olea europaea subsp. europaea
Lineage: Eukaryota; Viridiplantae; Streptophyta; Magnoliopsida; Lamiales; Oleaceae
Source: RNAcentral